This 222-nucleotide ribosomal RNA is filed under the name uncultured bacterium. Its description in RNAcentral is "partial 16S ribosomal RNA". It matches the Rfam family "Bacterial small subunit ribosomal RNA", at positions 943 to 1167 of the family's 1533-position model. The record is from RNAcentral.
GGUUUAAUUCGAUGAUACGCGAGGAACCUUACCCGGGCUUAAAUUGCAGAUGAAUUACGGUGAAAGCCGUAAGCCGCAAGGCAUCUGUGAAGGUGCUGCAUGGUUGUCGUCAGCUCGUGCCGUGAGGUGUCGGCUUAAGUGCCAUAACGAGCGCAACCCUUGUUGUCAGUUACUAACAGGUUCCGCUGAGGACUCUGACAAGACUGCCAUCGUAAGAUGUGA